UUCCAGCUCCAAUAGCGUAUACUUAAGUUGUUGCAGUUAAAAAGCUCGUAGUUGGAUUUCGGAUGGGAUCUGCCGGUCCGCCUUUGAGGUGUGUACUGGUAGGUCCUAUCUUGUUGUCGGGGACUAGCUCCUGGGCUUCACUGUCCGGGACUAGGAGCCGACGAAGUUACUUUGAGUAAAUUAGAGUGUUCAAAGCAAGCCUACGCUCUGAAUAUAUUAGCAUGGAAUAACACGAUAGGACUCUGGCUUAUCUUGUUGGUCUGUGAGACCAGAGUAAUGAUUAAGAGGGACAGUCGGGGACAUUCGUAUUUCAUUGUCAGAGGUGAAACUCUUGGAUUUAUGAAAGACGAACUUCUGCGAAAGCAUUUGUCAAGGAUGUUUUCAUCG
Molecule: ribosomal RNA, 387 nt
Filed under: Chlorodendrales sp.
Lineage: Eukaryota; Viridiplantae; Chlorophyta; Chlorodendrophyceae; Chlorodendrales
Description: partial small subunit ribosomal RNA
Rfam family: Eukaryotic small subunit ribosomal RNA
Source: RNAcentral